GCACUGCUGAGGAGUCCCAUACCAGGACGAAACGGCCGUCCAAUGC
Schistosoma haematobium is the source of this 46-nucleotide non-coding RNA. The record is from Rfam. Lineage: Eukaryota; Metazoa; Platyhelminthes; Trematoda; Strigeidida; Schistosomatidae.